AAAUUGAAGAGUUUGAUCAUGGCUCAGAUUGAACGCUGGCGGCAGGCCUAACACAUGCAAGUCGAACGGUAACAGGAAGCAGCUUGCUGCUUUGCUGACGAGUGGCGGACGGGUGAGUAAUGUCUGGGAAACUGCCUGGUGGAGGGGGAUAACUACUGGAAACGGUAGCUAAUACCGCAUAACGUCGCAAGACCAAAGAGGGGGACCUUCGGGCCUCUUGCCAUCGGAUGUGCCCAGAUGGGAUUAGCUAGUAGGUGGGGUAACGGCUCACCUAGGC
RNAcentral lists this ribosomal RNA (277 nucleotides) under Escherichia coli. RNAcentral describes it as "partial 16S ribosomal RNA". It matches the Rfam family "Bacterial small subunit ribosomal RNA", at positions 1 to 274 of the family's 1533-position model. The record is from RNAcentral. Lineage: Bacteria; Pseudomonadati; Pseudomonadota; Gammaproteobacteria; Enterobacterales; Enterobacteriaceae.